Molecule: long non-coding RNA, 1010 nt
Filed under: Pogona vitticeps (central bearded dragon)
Lineage: Eukaryota; Metazoa; Chordata; Lepidosauria; Squamata; Agamidae
Description: lncRNA (ENSPVIG00000006261.1)
Source: RNAcentral
CCUUUCAUUUUUGUGGAAGGGUGGGCUCCUCGUGUCCGAAAGAUAAUCCCGGAGGGUGGGUUUCGUGCAAAAGGGGGACCUGUUUGUGCGACCGGGAGGCUUUGAAGGUUUCGUGGUCGUGCUCGGGACGUCCCGGCAGAAGAUGUGCCAAGCUGGGGAUGGGGGGGCUUGUGUUUGUAAAAUCACGCAGGGCAGAUGAAUUCGUCAUCAUUGCUCGUGCUGGAACCAGAGAGCUUUCAAGCCCCAUAUAUAUAUAUAUAUUUUGCCUCGAUCAACUCCCAGGUUCUUGGUCAGCGGCCGCCUCGGGCUGCCUCGGUGUUUUCGGCUUGGCUUACCCCACAGACCUUCCCAUUGCUCAGUGGCUUGCAUGAACCGAAGGGGCCCUUCGAAAGUCCGUGGCCUGUGUUUAUAGCAGUGCGUCUACUUUUGGCUCUGUCUCUCUACCUGCCACCUCCACACACACCCCAUAGCCAUGACCCCUUGUGUUUCCACCUGUGGCUUGAAACCUUUUGCUCCGUACAUUGGGGGGGGGGAAGAGGACUGUUACCCACAAAACUUCAUGAGCGGACAAAAAACCUGUUUGUUGUCAGGCUGCCACGGGACUUUGCCGCCUGUCUUUGCUCUUGGGUUCUGUUCUGUUGGCAUGUGUGCGGAAAACGAAUCUGGUCUCUUCCUUUUCCAUGUAUUACUGUUGCAUUCCAUGGGGGUUUUUUUUGGGGGGGGUCCCUUCAAUUUCUUUUCCUUUCCUUUCUGGAAGAGGGAGUUUGCCCUGUUUGUUGGAAUCGUCGGUGCCUUUUGGGGGAGGUGGGUAGAGACCCCAUCUUAUACCAGGCACUCACUAUUUGGGAUCGCCUCCCUCUGUACUGUAUUCCUCUGUGUGGGCUGAGAUGACCACUAGGCAGACAGUGGAGGGAGCAGGAGUCCCCUCUUGAGGCCAGAUCGGCCCGGGUUUGGUAUAACGGAUGAGUUGGGGUUUUGCUUUGUGGAAGUCCAGCUAAGAGAAAAGGCAU